Molecule: ribosomal RNA, 1405 nt
Filed under: uncultured prokaryote
Description: partial 16S ribosomal RNA
Rfam family: Bacterial small subunit ribosomal RNA
Source: RNAcentral
AGUCGAGCGGUAACAUUUCAAAAGCUAGCCUUCGGGUGAGUAUAGCGGCGGACGGGUGAGUAAUGCAUGGGAAUCUGCCCAGUAGUGGGGGACAACAGUUGGAAACGACUGCUAAUACCGCAUACGCCCUACGGGGGAAAGUGGGGGACCUUCGGGCCUCGCGCUACUGGAUGAGCCUAAGUCGGAUUAGCUUGUUGGUGAGGUAAAAGCUCACCAAGGCGACGAUCUUUAGCUGGUCUGAGAGGAUGAUCAGCCACACUGGGACUGAGACACGGCCCAGACUCCUACGGGAGGCAGCAGUGGGGAAUAUUGCACAAUGGGCGCAAGCCUGAUGCAGCCAUGCCGCGUGUGUGAAGAAGGCCUUCGGGUUGUAAAGCACUUUCAGUUGUGAGGAAAAGUUGGUGGUUAAUACCCAUCAGCCGUGACGUUAGCAACAGAAGAAGCACCGGCUAACUCCGUGCCAGCAGCCGCGGUAAUACGGAGGGUGCGAGCGUUAAUCGGAAUUACUGGGCGUAAAGCGCACGCAGGCGGUCUGUUAAGCUAGAUGUGAAAGCCCCGCGCUCAACGUGGGAGGGUCAUUUGGAACUGGCAGACUAGAGUUUUGGAGAGGGGAGUGGAAAUUUCAGGUGUAGCGGUGAAAUGCGUAGAGAUCUGAAGGAAUACCAGUGGCGAAGGCGGCCCCCUGGACUGAUACUGACACUGAGGUGCGAAAGCGUGGGUAGCGAACAGGAUUAGAUACCCUGGUAGUCCACGCCGUAAACGAUGUUCUACUAGCCGUUGGGAGACUUGAUGUCUUAGUGGCGCAGCUAACGCGAUAAGUAGACCGCCUGGGGAGUACGGCCGCAAGGUUAAAACUCAAAUGAAUUGACGGGGGCCCGCACAAGCGGUGGAGCAUGUGGUUUAAUUCGACGCAACGCGAAGAACCUUACCAAGUCUUGACAUCCUGCGAACUUUCUAGAGAUAUAGACUUGUGCCUUCGGGAACUCUGUGACAGGUGCUGCAUGGCUGUCGUCAGCUCGUGUUGUGAACUGUGGGGUUAAGUCCCGCAACGAGCGCAACCCCUAUCCUUAUUUGCCAGCGCGUUAUGGCGGGGAUCUAAGGAGACUGCCGGUGAUAAACCGGAGGAAGGUGGGGACGACGUCAAGUCCUCAUGGCCCUUACGGGAUGGGCUACACACGUGCUACAAUGGCAGGGACAGAGGGCAGCAAUACCGCGAGGUGGAGCGAAUCACACAAAGUACGUCGUAGUCCGGAUUGGAGUCUGCAACUCGACUCCAUGAAGUCGGAAUCGCUAGUAAUCGUAGAUCAGAAUGCUACGGUGAAUACGUUCCCGGGCCUUGUACACACCGCCCGUCACACCAUGGGAGUGGGAUGCAAAAGAAGUGGCUAGUUUAACCUUUCGGGGA